UGGGGAAUAUUGGACAAUGGGCGAAAGCCUGAUCCAGCCAUGCCGCGUGUGUGAAGAAGGUCUUCGGAUUGUAAAGCACUUUAAGUUGGGAGGAAGGGCAGUAAGCGAAUACCUUGCUGUUUUGACGUUACCGACAGAAUAAGCACCGGCUAACUCUGUGCCAGCAGCCGCGGUAAUACAGAGGGUGCAAGCGUUAAUCGGAAUUACUGGGCGUAAAGCGCGCGUAGGUGGUUCGUUAAGUUGAAUGUGAAAGCCCCGGGCUCAACCUGGGAACUGCAUCCAAAACUGGCGAGCUAGAGUAGGGCAGAGGGUGGUGGAAUUUCCUGUGUAGUGGUGAAAUGCGUAGAUAUAGGAAGGAACACCAGUGGCGAAGGCGACCACCUGGGCUCAUACUGACACUGAGGUGCGAAAGCGUGGGGAGCAAACAGG
Molecule: ribosomal RNA, 429 nt
Filed under: Pseudomonadota bacterium
Lineage: Bacteria; Pseudomonadati; Pseudomonadota
Description: Proteobacteria bacterium partial 16S ribosomal RNA
Rfam family: Bacterial small subunit ribosomal RNA
Source: RNAcentral